RNAcentral lists this long non-coding RNA (1075 nucleotides) under Spirodela polyrhiza (greater duckweed). RNAcentral's name for it is "long non-coding RNA (SPOL_LNC000633)". The record is from RNAcentral. Lineage: Eukaryota; Viridiplantae; Streptophyta; Magnoliopsida; Alismatales; Araceae.
GAGCGACCGCCGCCACUUCCACGGUGAGAUUCCGACUGGUUUUCUCUCUCACAUGGUCGACCAUUGAAUGUGGCUGAGCUGGGUGCAGUUGGAUACCCCGCUGAUCCAAUCAGCGGCCGCCACCUCUCUCUCUCUCUCUCUCUCUCUCUCUCUACUAUAUAUAUAUAUAUAUAUAUANNNNNNNNNNNNNNNNNNNNUCCUCUCUCUCUCUCUCUCUCUCUCUACUAUAUAUAUAUAUAUAUAUAUAUAUAUCCCCGACUAGGAGUCCGCAGGUAACAUUCGGAGUACUCGACGGUCGCUGCUUGAAAUGUGUGCUCUUUUUUUUAAAGCGUUUACGGUGCCGUCGGGACUCAUCACCUUUAUGGGCUUUCCGGUCUUGCCUUUGACCAACCCCCACCUCUCUCUCUGGCCUCUUUUGUCAUAGUUUGAAUGAUACCCCCUCUUGCAGACCGUCUUCAAAUCAAUAAAGAAUUAAAAAAAUGAUAUUUUUAUCAGUGGGGGUGAGACAAGCACUGAUCUCCUCUUCUUAUGAAGGUUGAAGGGACGGCCGACUGACUGCAAAUGGCAGGUAUAUUAUGGGGUAGAUCUUGAUGAAUAACCCGGGUGGGAUUUCCUAAACCCCAUGUUGGAAAAAGUUAAUUUCUAGUGAAAGCUCGAGCCCUUUUGGUGAAUCCUGAAGAACACACCCCUUUUUGUACAGAACCCACGUAGAUUCCGAGCCAUAUUUGGUAAAAUAUGCAAUCCUGCUUAGGAGGAAGAUGAAUCAGGCCGAAGAAAUCCAACUAAAAAUCUGGUAGAGAUCGUGAGAGAUGUUCCUUGCCGAAGCAGGAGCUCCUCAGUCUGCUCAUGUGUUUCAGCACUGCCUUGUAUUCUUCUGAGCUCCCUGUUCUUCCACCUCUGUAUCGAUCUUGCAGUUGGACUGGUCUCCGGCUCGGAUGCCGGCGCAGGGCCCAGCCCUGUUGAGGAAGCAAUAAAAAUGGAGAUGCUCAGGUCAUGGAGCAGCGCGACCAGUCAAACCCUAGUUCGUCCCCCUCCCCCCCUGUUUAAAUACGCUUAUUUCAAAUGAUGCCGCCAU